AUGGGCCUUCGCCUGUUACUUUUAGCACCCCACGUAUUUUUGUCCCAUCAGCGCCCUUUAAUUUUCCUGUUCAAUCAAAAUAAUAAUGCACCUCCCCUUUUCAUGUUAUUUUAUUUUUCUAAUUUAUUUUCUGUUUUGAUUUUAAUUUUUUAAAAUAUUUUCUUUAUUCAUAAAAAUAUCCAAAAAUAUUUUCCAUAUUUCUUGAUGCACUAUUUAAUUUUAUUUAAUUUUUAUUUUUGUAUUUAUUUAAUGUUAAUAUUUUAUUUUAAUUAUUCUUUCCAAGUGGUUCAUUUUAACACACAUUUAACUCUUGAUUUUAUUUUCAUGACUUAG
Molecule: long non-coding RNA, 333 nt
Filed under: Lathyrus oleraceus (garden pea)
Lineage: Eukaryota; Viridiplantae; Streptophyta; Magnoliopsida; Fabales; Fabaceae
Description: Pisum sativum (pea) long non-coding RNA (PSAT_LNC023690)
Source: RNAcentral